Molecule: unclassified non-coding RNA, 341 nt
Filed under: soil metagenome
Description: partial contains 5.8S ribosomal RNA, internal transcribed spacer 2, and large subunit ribosomal RNA
Rfam family: 5.8S ribosomal RNA (bases 1-120)
Source: RNAcentral
GAUGAAGAACGUGGCGAAAUGCGAUAAGUAGUGUGAAUUGCAGAAUUCAGUGAAUCAUCGAAUCUUUGAACGCACAUUGCGCCCUUUGGUAUUCCAAAGGGCAUGCCUGUUCGAGCGUCAUUUGUACCCUCAAGCUUUGCUUGGUGUUGGGCGUCUUGUCUCUAGCUUUGCUGGAGACUCGCCUUAAAGUAAUUGGCAGCCGGCCUACUGGUUUCGGAGCGCAGCACAAGUCGCACUCUCUAUCAGCAAAGGUCUAGCACCCAUUAAGCCUUUUUUUCAACUUUUGACCUCGGAUCAGGUAGGGAUACCCGCUGAACUUAAGCAUAUCAAUAAGCGGAGGA